GCCCCUGUAGCUCAGUCGGUUAGAGCCGCGGACUCAUAAUCCGUAGGUCGCGGGUUCGAGCCCCGCCGGGGGCACCG
This 77-nucleotide transfer RNA is filed under the name Corynebacterium xerosis. Its description in RNAcentral is "tRNA-Met". It matches the Rfam family "tRNA". From Rfam's summary of the family: Transfer RNA (tRNA) molecules are approximately 80 nucleotides in length. Their secondary structure includes four short double-helical elements and three loops (D, anti-codon, and T loops). Further hydrogen bonds mediate the characteristic L-shaped molecular structure. tRNAs have two regions of fundamental functional importance: the anti-codon, which is responsible for specific mRNA codon recognition, and the 3' end, to which the tRNAs corresponding amino acid is attached (by aminoacyl-tRNA synthetases). tRNAs cope with the degeneracy of the genetic code in two manners: having more than one tRNA (with a specific anti-codon) for a particular amino acid; and 'wobble' base-pairing, i.e. permitting non-standard base-pairing at the 3rd anti-codon position. Lineage: Bacteria; Bacillati; Actinomycetota; Actinomycetes; Mycobacteriales; Corynebacteriaceae. The record is from RNAcentral.